This 10386-nucleotide long non-coding RNA is filed under the name Theobroma cacao (cacao). RNAcentral's name for it is "long non-coding RNA (TCAC_LNC003302)". Lineage: Eukaryota; Viridiplantae; Streptophyta; Magnoliopsida; Malvales; Malvaceae. The record is from RNAcentral.
CAGUGAGCCCUCUAACAAGGGUAAAGACGUUGUAUCAGAGCACUAAGAAUAGGAGUAUUUCAAACUCCUGAUACUGUGAGUAACCUUACUAUCGUCUUAAUUAUCUAAAGUGGUUUUUAUCCGAUUUUGUGAUUUUAUGGAAAAUGAGUUUAAAUGGCAAAUCUUUAUGUUUUAUGAGCAAAAUGUGAUUAAAUGAAAUGAUUGUAUAAAAUUUUCUUGAAAUUGAAUGAUGGUUUUGGAAAAUGGAGUAAUUGGAGACUAAUUGCUGUGUUAUAAAUCAUGGUUUGAAUUGAAUGGCUUAUGAUAAUAUUGGCAUGAAUGGUUGAUUUGGUAAAUGUGUUGAAAAUGUAUGAACUGUUAAUUUACCUUGAGAGGCUGUAAAAUAAAAUAAUUGCCAUGUCAUGCUAUCGCAAAUUUUAUUAAAUUGGUAGGUUAUAAAUUUGUCGCUGCAGUGAACGGGUUCCAUGGACCAGCGUAUUAGAGGGGCAUGGUAACCGUAUUAUAUUCAUACCUUAGUAUGAGAGGUGCAGAUGGAUAACUCUUGAGGUUAACACUUUAGAGUUCACUUCACGCCAAACUACCACGUGAGGGUGAACUCAGCCAACGCCAAGGAAUGGUUAUGUUUUCAAAAUAAAAACAUGAUUUAUGUGUACAUAACUUUUUAACAGCCUUGGUGGACUUGGUUGGGAUAGCCCUCAAUCAAGGUAUCCCUAAUAACUGAGUAUGAGAAUGAUUUUGGCACGAGCCAAAGUUUUAAGAAAUUCAUAAGCCAUGUUGAUUACUCAAUUUAUAUGAAUUGAUUUUAUUUGGUUGAAAUGAGUUGAAAGGUGAUGAAUUACAAUAUGUUAAACUAUUUUAUUUGUUUCCAUUUACUCAACUUUAAAUAUUUUAGAUGGUAUUUGUUUACUUACUGAGAUUAUAUAAUCUCACCACCCUCAUUUCCACCCAUUUCAAGCUCAGGAUAGUCGGUAGAUAGCUCAUUUCGUUGAGAGCUAUAGUUGGAUUUGCAUCUUCCAAACUGUAGGUUCACAGUCUUCCUUACUUUUAGUUAUUCGGGGGCCUACUAGUUAUUGUAAAUUAAAUUAAAUACUCUAGCUUACUGUGUUACAAUAUGUAUGAAUUUAUUUUGCUUUUACGCUGCAAAAAUUAUUUACGUAUAACUCUAAAAAUAUUGUUUUAUAGGAAAAUAGAAUAUUUUAUUGAAUAUUUCUUUUAUUUCUUUUAUUUUUUAAUUAUAUCCAAAUAAACAUAAUUUCAUUUUAAAUGAAGGUUUUAGAUGUUUAAACUUAUCUUUGAUUAUGAAUUAUGUGUUUUUUACUCGCAUACUACGUUUUUAGCAGAUUUAGAGAUUUUUGAGGAAAAAUGACCAAAAUGCCCCUGUGAGAAAAAAAUUGUUUUUUUAUUGUUUUGAUUUGGAAAUAGUUUAUAAUCUCUCAAAACAUAAUUUUAGUGACUAAUACUCACAGGAGAAGCGAGAAAAACUGAUGUUAAGCCUUACGAGGUUUCGAUUGACAUUUUGUGAAUGAAUGUCUAUAGGGACGUCGUGACGGUUGUCACGAGCUCGAUGGGAGUUCUGGAUCGUGACACCUUACUUGAUUUCUUGUAAUUCUAAGAAGUUCUAGUCUUUCCCUUCAUUUAGUUGAUUAUGAGCUCUACAAGCUCUAAAAGGUUGAACAAAAAAUUGUUUUAGUACUAUUCACCCUUUUCUAGCACUCCAACGGGACCAAUAUAUCAUACAUAACGUUAUCCGUAUAAAAUGCCAAACAUAGGCUACAUUAAUAUAACAUGUUCGUUAUCCAUAAACAUAAUCAAAUCCAUAAAUAUAAACAUAUGACCGAUUUGUUAGUGGAACGUGACUGGCCCUCUAGGCAUCUAAUGGCUGCUGAACACCUAUGAAGGAAUGAAGAUUGGACACCAGUAUCCGUGACAUUAGCUUUUAUCAAUAUGCUAUCACUGAUAUGCAACAAAAUAAAUGGGAAAAAUAAUGUGUGAGUCACAAAUUCUUCGUAAGUGGAUACGGGAAAGGGACAAGCUAGGGGAUAAGAGUGUUUUGUAAACAUGCAGUUAUAAUCUCAUGCCAAUUAUAAUCAAUUUAAACUUUAAUCUCAUGAAACAUGGUGUUUAAACAUGUUUGGAAAUAGCAUAAUUGAUGUAACCAACUGUGAAUGACCACUAGAAAACCUUUUUACCUAUGAAAAGCUUUCAAACAAGUCAAUGCAUUCGAUUCUGGAACUCAUUUAUUGAUAUAAUGAACAUCUAUUGAUAGAUUGGAAACACAAUGCUUCUUGUGGCAUUUUGUAUGCUAUCUAUCGAUAGAUGUUCUACAUUUAUCAUAGAUAGCCUCUGAACCUCUAUUUUAUGGGCAAAAUUGUGUAUUUUUUCCAUUCUUUAGGUCCUUUUACCUCUUAGAACUAUCUUUACGACUCAUUUCAUUUCUCCAAUCACAUACUCAUGCCAAUAUCGAGUAUAGAUCAUAACCAUUAUUCAAGAUGAACUUAACAUGCAUUAUAUCAUAAAGAUAACAAUCAUAAUGAUCCCAUUAACAUUUACCUCACACAUUGUGAUGGUAUAACCCCCAUCAACCUUGCGUUCGCAAUAUACAACCCCAUUACACCUUCGGCGUUUAUGAUGGAUCAUAGGAGUGAAGUUGUCAUUACACCCCGUGUGAGUGGAAUCAAUCGCACUGGUUAAGCUUUUAUACUCAUAGCAUUUAGUAUGAGGAAUGUCCAGCACAUACAUGCUUACUCAUCUCAUAAGGUAUAUGGAAUUUCCAUAUCAUAUACACAUCUCAUGGCAUUUCCUCAUGCCUACUCUUUCAACACAUUGUAUGUAACACACGCAUUACAUACAUAGUCUCAUAGCAUUCGUCAUGCUUCCUCAAACAUCUCAUGUAGUAUAUGGAAAACACAAACAUAAUAUCUUAGAUGAAAAUCAUCAUACAAGACAUCACACAUUUCAUGCCUUAACAUAUCUAGCAUACACCUCAUACAUUCAUACAUUAAUCUUAAAUCAUAUCUCGUACCCACACUAGUCUGAAAACCGGAGUAAUCAAGUGGACUCAAACAUAAGGUGCUUGUCCCCUUUUGUUGAAAACUAAUACAUAAUAUCAUAUUUACGUACAUAGUAGGUUGAAAAUGAAUUUUAAAAUAUUUUUCUUAUCCAUAAAUAAAAUUUCAGUUCAUAAGUAUUUGCACAAAAUCAUAUUCACCAAUAAUCCUCAAAUCAUGCUUCAACUUUACAUAUCAAAAUAAUUUUGAAAGUGCUGUAUCCACUCAUCUUAUAGGGAAGCUUGAUUACAACUCCAAUUCCGUGUAAUUUGGUGUAUUGUCAAGAGUUCCUAUCACACAAUAUUCAUAACAAUCAAUUUCUAAACUAAUAAUCUUGGAAUAAUUAAUAUAGCAACUUAAAAAUCUAUUUGCUUUCGACUAUAGCCACUUUCUCUCUCUAGAUUAAGCUAGAAAUGCAUAAAUUUUCUAAACUUACCUUAUAUGAGCAUAGAUGUUGAAGGAAAUCUCAAAACCUUAGCUUUAAUCCUUAACAAAAAUUUCUAGGCAAAAAUAAUAAAUUUGUAGCGUUAAAAGUGUGAGCUUUAAAGGUUUUAUAGGAUAAAAAUGUCAUUUUUAGCUUUAAACUUCAAAACUAAGAUCAAAAUCAUCAAAAGCAGCAAUUUUCAUUAAAAAUGGGUUGAAAAGGUUUUAGAGUGGUUUUACCUUUCCAAAAACAGCUAAGGGUUGAGAAACCCUUGGGUAUUGGGUCAUAUUUAUAGUUUGGGAAGUGAAAAUAUGCUUUUACCCCUUUUAUUUUUUUUAAAACGACGUCAUCUAUUGAUAGAUCGAGGCUAUCUAUCGAUAGAUGAGCUUUAGAACCCUUUCUGGAAGCUUUUUGCUUGCUAACUUGCAAAGAUAAUUAAGAAAUAUCCAUAAUCAUCUUACCUUGCUUGACUUUUAACUCAUUCAAAAAUAUAACUUUAAACUUUUCAUUAAUCCAAGAUAACAAAUCUACCAUAUGAAAUUCAAAUGCCAUUAAUUCUUUGAACUUAAAUUUUUAAGCAUAAAUAGAGAAAACCUUACCUAAGCUUUGGAUUUCCAGCUACCAUUAACUACAAGUCUAAGUUAACAAAUAACAUCCAUUUACUUUCAUAAACCUCUAUAGAUACCUCAUACAAGCUUUACAUAAUGCAUAAGGAUUAUAACACGUCAAACUUAUUUAUUUCUUAUGUAUACCACUCCACCAAUUGCUAUUUGAAGCAUUCUUUUUACAAUUCUGCUCAACUAAGCUUAAUACCCCUUUUUAACAAUUUUUCUCAUGCUCAUGGUAAUUUAGUUCAGCUUAACCUAUCUAGGUAAGCUCAUCUAAAUAAAUCCCAUUUCCAUUAUAGAACAGGACUAAUAAUUCUCCAACUCCAUACACAAUCUCAUUAACUCACUUUAGCAAUUUAUUUUCUAACCUUAAUUCACCAUUUCAAAAAUAUAAUUCAAUUGUCCCUUACCUUAGAGAAUCAAGGUAGCUUAGUAUCAAAUCAUAAUUUCUAUCUUGCCAAAUGGAAGUGAGCUGCAAACACAAAAAUAAAAUUUUAAACUAAUUAAUUUGAUUCCAAACAACCUAACAAAAUGCUUUCUCUUGACUCACUUACGAUCAUUCCAACAAAGCUUCAAUUACUAUUUCUGUUUGUUAAACUCCAAUCGAGCUCUCCUUUUCUUAUUUUGCAUUUUUCAAACUCCAACUGAGCUAUCCAUUUAAACAAAUCGAACCUCUAUCUUUGUUUUUCAUCAAACCAAGCUCCCAUAUUUGUUUUCUUCAUUUCUUUAUCCUUUUGUUUGUCUUUUGAUUUCCAUGGUUUAGUAUUCUCUUUUCUAAGCUUUCAAAGGGAAGAACGACAACAACUUUUCUAGGGAAUUGGAGCUACAAAUCAAUUAAGAAUUCAAGAGCAACUGAGAGAGAUUAGCAAUCAACCAGACUACGACAUUAAUUUAUUUCUCUCCUUUGGUGUUAUUCUUAUUUUCUUGUAUUGAAUUCAUGACCAAAUUUCUUUGGAUAGUGUUUUAUUUAGAUAUUAUUAACUAAUUUGUUUAUCUAGGAUUAUGGUGGAUUUCAACAUGUAAUCUGAAUAUUGGUUUUUCUGUUAUUUAUCAUGAAUGGGUAUCGUUUUACUUAUUCAAAUAUGUUCUUCAUGCCUUUAAUUGCCAGAUCAACAAUUAAUUGAUUUGUGAAUCUAAUUGAGACUCAACAGAGAGAUUUUAGGUUGGAUUAAGAUUUGAAUAGUGUAUGUUCAUGUCACUUAAGUGAUCUGAUUCGCGAUUUGGGUAAACAUACGUCAAUUGUCAUGCAUAGCCAAAUUAGGAUACUUGCUUAAUGAACUUAAUUUAAUUGAUCCCUAUAGACAUAUAAUGAGCUGAUUAAGUUAAGUAUUUGUACAAGCAUCUUGAUGAAGCCUUGUCCAUAGCUUGGGAUUCUAGGAUUCUAGGUUAGUAAAAUCACCCAGGAAACAUAAAUAACUACAAAAGCUGGUAUCAGAUGAAAUGUUGAAUAAACCUAUGAUCUUAGGUUUUUAAUCUACUGUUUUUCUUAACAAACUUAAUUUUUGCUAAUUAAUUUUGUAUUUCUUUCAAAUUUUGUUUUUAUUAGCUUUUCAAUUUUUUGAUUUCUUAAAUAAGGUUAAUGUCAUGACCCAAAUCUAGGGGUUCGUGAUAGGUACACGACUAAAGCAAGCAAGCUCAAUAGACCCAAGUAAGCUUCAGAAUCCAAAAUCAUAUAACUGUGAGACCUCGACCUCUAUAGGCUCGUAACUAGGUGUAGACGCGAUAAUACAAGUCAGGGGUAAUUUCAUUAUUUCCUUAGUGAGCCCCUAGAAGUAGGCUUUCAAACAAUAUUAAGGCCUAAGUAGGCCUAAGGCAUAAAUGAAUGAUGAAAAUAAGGGUAAAAUGACGAAGGAAAUAAAAAUAAUGAUGAUUUCCAAGGUAGGGGCAAAAUAGUCAUUUUUCAUCUUGAGUAGAAAUUUUAAGUUUUCAUGAAUCCGAGUAUUUCUAGACUAUUAUGAACUUUGUCCUAGUGUCAAAAGAGUAAAAAGAUUACACCAAGGAUUGGAGGAGAACAAGCCAACUUGUUAAGAGCAUUUUCGUAAUUUGAGUAAAGAUUGGAUAAGUUUUAGCUAUAAAUAUAAUUUUUCCAGCAGCUUCUUCUUCUUCUUCCUCCCAUUUCACGUUUCGUUCAUCCUCCAUGGAAGCUUGUUUUGAAACCUCUAUAACUUCUCUUAAGCUAGCUCAAAUUUUCAUGCUUUUGUGAACCCUUUCAUAGAACCUUUUGUGCUCUUUCACUCUCUCACUUUAAAACCCUUGAAAAGUCUUACUUCCAUACUUCCUCUCACUAGCUAGGUGUUUUACAAAGAGAAAGAGGGAGCUUUUAUAAUAGCUUGGAAGAAUUUUGAAAAAAAAUUCAAUUGCAAACCCACCAAGGUGAAUGAACUUGCAUUAAAAUGCUUUGGGAUUAGGGCAUAUGUGUUUGAUUAAAUCCAUUGAAAUAUUUUAUCUGUCUUUCUCUAAAAUAUGCAUGGGAACAAGCUUUUAAUGAAACGUUUUGCGUUGUGGAAUGCGACUGUGAUGAAUCCAUGUGCUCUGUGUUAUGUUGAUAUAAAUAUAUCUAAAUAUAUAUGAUAUGUAUUGAUAGUAAUACUGUUUGUAAUUAAAACCAAGUAUGUGCAUGAUGUGGAGGAUGCACACGGCGAUUUUAGUUGUGCAUGAUGUGGGGGAUGCACAUGAUGACUCCAGCUAUGUGCGUGAUGUGGGGGUUGCACAUGAGCUGGGUGAAGCGGUGGUGGUAUUGGUGGUUAUGUAUGUAUAUAUAUAUAUAUAUAUAUAUAUAUAUAUAUAUAUAUAUANUAUUUAUGCAAUAGAAAGUUCAUGAAUAUGGUAUAUGGUUGUAAUGUAUGUGAAAUCUUGCAUGUUGAACCUUGGAAAUUGUUGAGUAUUUUCAAGUUGAUUUUGUCAUUGCAACAGAAUGGCCUUUGCUUAACAUAAUGAGGAUUUUUCUUGGUGUUCUGUUUCUUGCUGCAACGAGAAACUCUCGAGUUGGGAGGCUCGCUGCAGCCUUGUAACUCACUGCAGCGAGAUGUCUACAGGAAAUUUUGUUGUAACGAGAAUUCAUCCUCGCUGCAACGAGAAACCUUCUGUUGUGCUUACUACCUUGUUUGGUUGCUGCCCUAUUUUUCACUUCUUUAGCACCAUUGUUGAUCAUGGACUUCCAACAUUAAAGAAUUAAUUGAUUAAGUUUGCAUGAGGGGUUUUAGUGAGAAACCCUUGGCCAGUUGAGAAACUCUCAGCCGAUAAAAUAAUUUGAGCCCAAAUUUUGCUGCAGAAUGCCUUUCCGUUACAGCGAGAACCUGUCAUUUCACUUGACUUGCUUGAAUGCUACUAAAGUUUUCACUCUUCAAAUUCUUUGUUAUGUAUGAUCCUUCAUCAUCAAGUGAUUAGCCAAUUAAGGGUUUAAUGAGGGGUUUAAAUAAGAAUUAAACUAAAUUGCAUUGUUUUUGAAAAUAAGUGCAUCAUGAUUUCUUAAACUUUUCUUAUCUUUUGCUUGUUCCCUUCCUUUGUUCACUCACUAGGUUUAUACUCAUUGUUUUCAACUUCAUGUUUUCAGAUCAAGAGAUAGUCGGUAACUAGGUUGAGGUGUCCUCAUAGAUUCGUUUCCUUGGUAGGUAUCUCGGCAUUCAAUAGUUGUACUUUCGCUCGAGUCUCUCCGCUGGAAGUCGAGUAUCCCUUUUGUUGUGUAUAGACAAACCCGAUGUAAAUUAUUAAGAUGUAUGUUUUAGACGAUAUAUGUAUAUUUUGAUUGGUAAUGCCACUAUGAAUUGGCAAUGGUUAGCAUUAUUUUGAAUUGGAUUUAUAAAAUGUGACUUUAGCAACUUUUGAUGGAAUGAUGGAUAGGUCAUAUAAAUAAGCUUUCUUGAGCUUAGUGGGCUACGUCCAUUGGGCCCAUGCGCCAGUCAUAGCUCGAAAAUUGGGUCGUGACAAUAACAUAAGCCAAGGGAUUUGAUAAUCAAAUAUUCAAAAUAAAACCAAAUAUAAUACAUUAUCCAUGGAACAUAAUUCAUACUAAUAUUCUUAAGGCCAUGCAUUGGCCAUCAAAUCAGGUUUGUACAUAACAACCUUUAUACAAUUCAAAUGGCAAAUCAUGCCUAACUGUGAAACCUCAACCUCCAUAGAUGUGUAAUUAGAGGUAGAUUGAUAAGUGCAUCAAAUUCACAUAUUUAAUGAGAGAUUAAAUACCUAAUUAGUCUAAGUUGGACUAGAUUUAGGAUCGAAUUUAGGUAUUUUUAUUUAUUUUAUUAGUUUAGUUUAAUUUAUGUUUAAAUGUUUAUUUUAAGUUAAUGAUGUUAGUUUUACGUUAUUUAUAAUUAUUUUGUGUUUUUAUAGGAGUAGGAUCAAAAAUAAUUUCAAUUGGUCAAGAAAGGUGCAUAAUGGACUGUUACUCUAUUUGCAUAUGUUUUGACUUUUCAAGUAUAUCUCCCACUACAGAACUUCAAAUGACAUGAUUUUUAAACCAUUAAAAAGCUAAGAGGUGGGGCUACAACUUUGAUGUUUACGACUUUGUCCAGUUCUGAUAGGAAAGUGGUCAAAAUCUUUGUCAAAGUUAAAGCACUGCACUAGAAGAAUAAAAAUGGGCAUUUUUGUAAAUUACGUGAAACUUUGAUUGACUUUAGAGAUAAAUAUCUAAAGUUCCAGCACCUUCUUUAUCUUCCUCUCAUUUCUUCUCUUCUUUUUGCAGAACUUUGCAUCCUCCAUAGAAAGAAACCUUAAAACCUCCAUAAUCUUCUCAUACUAGCUCUAAAAUUCAUGUUUUUGCACACUUUUUCAUAGGGUUUUUCGUUUUCUUUCACUUUUUCACCUCAAAAACCCUCAAAAAAAGUUUUUCCUCUGCACUUUCUCUCACUAUCUGAACAUUUUUAGAGAGCGAAGCUCUUCAAAUUAGCUUGAAAACUCUUGAAGGAGUUUUCCUCUUUUAAUCCUCACUAAGAAAAUUCAACUACAAGUCCACCAAGGUAAGAAAUGAGUUAGGGUUGAUUUUAAGUUGUUAAAGAUGGCUAAUAAUUAGAUUUGUGGGCUGUUAUAUUUUUUAUGGUUAUAUUGUAUGUGAUAGGUUCCAACGAGGCCCCACAUGUCCAUUUGGAGCAUUAGUUGAAGUUAAAGUUGAUCAAAAGAAUCAACAAGAACAAGUGAGUGAACUUGCAUUAAAUUAUUUUUGGGAAAUACAUAUGUGUUGAGAUGGAGCACUUAAAUGAAUAUAUUUGACUUUUUUUCUCUAAAUCAUGCUUGGGAACAAGCCCUUGAUGAAACAUUUUAUGUUGUAAAAUGUGUAAUGUGAUGAACCCAUGUGUUCAUAUAUUCUGAUGAUAUAUAUGCUAUGCUUUGAAUGAUAAUAUUAUGUGAUAAUUGUAACCGCGCGUGUGUGGUGUGGGAGUGCACAUGCCGGUGAUGAUGGGUGAUUCCAGCUAUGUGCGGUGUGGGAGUGCACAUGAGCUGAUGACCGGUGGAUGAUGAUUCCAACUAUGUGCGGUGUGGGAAUGCACAUGAGCUGAUGACUGGUGGAUGAUGAUUCCAGCUAUGUGCGGUGUGGGAGUGCACAUGAGCUGAUGACCAGUGGAUGAUGAUUCCAAGUAUGUGCGGUGUGGGAGUGCACAUGAGCUGAUGACUGGUGGAUGAUGAUUCCAGCUAUUUUCGGUGUGGGAGUGCACAUGAGCUGAUGAGCUGGUGGUUGUAUACAUGUUUACACAUUCCAUAGAAAUGUUAGAGAAAAUAUUAUGUGAUUGCAAUGAAUGUUGAAUGUUGAAAUUGUUAAUUGCUUCCAAAUUGAUUUUCAAUACAACGAGAAACUCUCUGUCUUACCUGUCUUGCUAGGAUAUUUGCUGUAGUUUCACUCUUUUCAACUUUGUUGUUGAUCAUAGAUCCUUCACUUUAAGGGAUUAAAUAAUAAAAGGUUGAAUUAAAUGGCUUUACAAAAAAUUAAGCUAAAUUGCAUUGUUUUUAACAUAAGUGCAUCAUGUUUUCUACAACUCUCCGUAUCGUUUGCUUGUUCCCUUCCUAUGUUCACUCACUGGGUUUAUACUCACUCUUUUCAACUUCAUGUUUUCAGAUUCAGAGGCAGUUGGGAUCUAGAUUGAGGUGUCCACUUGUAUUCACCUUUUUGGUAAGUACUAUGGUAUUUAAUAAUUGUACCCGUAUCUAAAGUCACUCCACUGGUAGUCAAUGGUUUUUGCAUGUGUACAUGUGCACUUGAUGUAAAUUACUAGAACUUAUGUUAUAACCAAUGUAUGUAUAUUUUGAUUGGUGAUGCCACCAUGAGUUGGCAAUGGAUGAUAUUAUUUUUGGGAUGAUACAAAUAUAAGUAUUUGAU